This 440-nucleotide ribosomal RNA is filed under the name uncultured bacterium. RNAcentral's name for it is "bacterial SSU rRNA". It matches the Rfam family "Bacterial small subunit ribosomal RNA", at positions 958 to 1398 of the family's 1533-position model. The record is from RNAcentral.
AACGCGAAGAACCUUACCCAGAUUUGACAUGCAGAUGACGUACGCAGAAAUGCGUAUUCCCUUCGGGGCAUCUGCACAGGUGCUGCAUGGCUGUCGUCAGCUCGUGCCGUGAGGUGUUGGGUUAAGUCCCGCAACGAGCGCAACCCUUAUCAUUAGUUGCCAUCACUUCGGGUGGGCACUCUAAUGAGACUGCCUGGGUUAACCAGGAGGAAGGUGAGGAUGACGUCAAGUCCGCAUGGCCCUUACAUCUGGGGCUACACACGUACUACAAUGGUCGGUACAGAAGGCAGCUAAGCCGCAAGGUAGAGCAAAUCCUAGAAAACCGAUCUCAGUUCAGAUUGUGGUCUGCAACUCGACCACAUGAAGUCGGAAUUGCUAGUAAUGGCGAGUCAGCAACAUCGCCGUGAAUACGUUCCCGGGCCUUGUACACACCGUAGUAC